GGAAGAGCCCCACUCCGCCACCUCCUUUCAAAGUCCGCCCGGGUGAGGAAGAUACCUUAUGCCCCCAUCUUAUCAAGAAGGAACUCUGUCGCGGAUCACUGCACUGGGGAUCGGAGCCUCCAUUCUGUGUUAUAACUGUCACCACUUUCUCUGCUGCUUCUGCUUCCAGGUACCCCAGCGACCUAUUUAUUUGGAACCCGCCCCUACAGGCACUGCCAGGCAGGACUUUUGGAAGCACCAUAGUAAAGAGAUUUGAAAAUUUUAUCAUCUUCCCUCUCAUUUCUCCGUAUACCUCCCACCUUCCGAGUAACGAAUGGUAGUAAAUCUCUCCUCUGGCGCCGCCCUGUUUUCCCUUAGAGAAUUAGGGUGCGGAACAGGACUUCGGAUUAAUAAUCUUAGCCCCCCACGGCCUGGUAGGUAAAAGCUGCUGCCCUCAGCGCCUGGUUCUGAGGACACUUCUCCAGAGACUCUGUCUCCCUGUCUCCUUUUAGAAACACAGCAAUGAGGCUGUUCAGAGGAAACAACGGCGGACAGACAAAAAGUAAUUUGCUUGAUAGAGUAACCUGUGCGCUUUGUUCUCCCCCCUUUAUCCCCCCAGUCAGCGGGAAAGAAGAACAGGGCUCUGCGUCUGGGUGCUGGUCAGCAGGGGGCACUGUUGCACCUCCCUUGGCCUUAGGGAGGAAACAGCACAGUAGACAAACCAAAGGGGUGGAGAGAGCAGCGCCUCCGGCCUGAUGCUGGUGGAUUUGAACAGAUGACCUUCCCUUGAUCCAUGGAAACAGGUGCAUUGACUCCCGAUAGCCUAAAAGCGUGAUGGAUGGGCAGAAUGGUGCCCAGUGCUGUUGCUUUCCUGGUAACCAACGGAAACCACAAUCUCUUGACGGGCGCGUGUGUCUGUGUAUGUCCGUCCUCUCCCCAUUCCGCCACCUCCUGUACUUAAAAAAGGGUGCGAUGA
This is a long non-coding RNA of Pteropus alecto (black flying fox), 955 nucleotides long. RefSeq lists it as uncharacterized. The record is from RefSeq and is a predicted model, not a curated record. The transcript has 2 exons. Lineage: Eukaryota; Metazoa; Chordata; Mammalia; Chiroptera; Pteropodidae.